GUGGGCGUAGCUCAGUCGGUUAGAGCGUCAGUUUGUGGCACUGAAGGCCGGGGGUUCGAUUCCCCUCGCUCACCCCA
Molecule: transfer RNA, 77 nt
Filed under: Acidimicrobiia bacterium
Lineage: Bacteria; Bacillati; Actinomycetota; Acidimicrobiia
Also listed under: 1 other name
Description: tRNA-His
Rfam family: tRNA
About the family: Transfer RNA (tRNA) molecules are approximately 80 nucleotides in length. Their secondary structure includes four short double-helical elements and three loops (D, anti-codon, and T loops).
Source: RNAcentral